GGCCUGAGAGGGUGACCGGCCACACUGGGACUGAGACACGGCCCAGACUCCUACGGGAGGCAGCAGUGGGGAAUAUUGCACAAUGGGCGGAAGCCUGAUGCAGCAACGCCGCGUGAGGGAUGACGGCCUUCGGGUUGUAAACCUCUUUUAGCAGGGAAGAAGCGAGAGUGACGGUACCUGCAGAAAAAGCGCCGGCUAACUACGUGCCAGCAGCCGCGGUAAUACGUAGGGCGCAAGCGUUAUCCGGAAUUAUUGGGCGUAAAGAGCUCGUAGGCGGUUUGUCGCGUCUGCUGUGAAAUCCCGAGGCUCAACCUCGGGCCUGCAGUGGGUACGGGCAGACUAGAGUGCGGUAGG
This 354-nucleotide ribosomal RNA is filed under the name bacterium LimB-1-J-25. Its description in RNAcentral is "bacterial SSU rRNA". It matches the Rfam family "Bacterial small subunit ribosomal RNA", at positions 289 to 655 of the family's 1533-position model. The record is from RNAcentral. RNAcentral also lists the same sequence under 1 other name.